UGCCAGAUAACCCGCUUAUGAGGAAGAAGAAAACGCCAGAGGAACUCGCAGCCGAAGCCGAAGCCGAAGAUCAGGACGAAUUCACGAAGUUGAAAAACACCAUAGAAACACAAAUUAACGAAGUGAAACAGCAAAUAGAAGAAAAAUUUCACAUUCUUAGCGGUGG
Penaeus vannamei (Pacific white shrimp) is the source of this 166-nucleotide non-coding RNA. The record is from RefSeq and is a predicted model, not a curated record. Lineage: Eukaryota; Metazoa; Arthropoda; Malacostraca; Decapoda; Penaeidae.